This 437-nucleotide ribosomal RNA is filed under the name Tetrastichus giffardianus. RNAcentral describes it as "eukaryotic LSU rRNA". The record is from RNAcentral. Lineage: Eukaryota; Metazoa; Arthropoda; Insecta; Hymenoptera; Eulophidae.
CCUGAGAAACCCAAAAGAUCGAAUGGGGAGAUUCACCGUCAGCGGCGUUGGCUUCCGUGCGGCUCGCGAUGGUCGGGACUUCGGUCUCGCGCCACGCGGUCGCCGCGGCAUGUCCGGCGUCGUCGGCGUGCACUUCUCCCCUAGUAGGACGUCGCGACCCGUUGGGUGUCGGAUCAAUGGCCGGUCGGUCGUCUGUUGUGUCGUCUUCGCGGUCGACGCGGCAGACCGAUCGGUUCAACGUCCGACUGCCCGGCGGUAUAGAACGCUUAAUCACGGUACUGGGCCGCAACUCGAAUGCGUUCAGGCUCGACGGCAGGCUCGUCUCGCUCGGAUUUACGGACCUAGCGCCGUUGCCGGGCGCUUGGCGUGGCCGUUAGUCGUCGAUGUCCUCGGACUGGCUCUUACCGGUCUGCGACGCUACUGCUUUGGGUACUUUC